Molecule: non-coding RNA, 111 nt
Organism: Xylariaceae sp. FL0016
Lineage: Eukaryota; Fungi; Ascomycota; Sordariomycetes; Xylariales; Xylariaceae
Source: the annotation of a GenBank genome assembly
GGGAGUUUGGCCGAGUGGUUAAGGCGUCGUGUUUAGGUCAUCAACCUCUCAAGGUUCGAUACCGUAAACCCGCGAUGGGAAACCGCGCAGGUUCGAAUCCUGCAGCUCUCA